RNAcentral lists this ribosomal RNA (450 nucleotides) under uncultured bacterium. RNAcentral describes it as "partial 16S ribosomal RNA". It matches the Rfam family "Bacterial small subunit ribosomal RNA", at positions 354 to 796 of the family's 1533-position model. The record is from RNAcentral.
GUGGGGAAUAUUGUACAAUGGGCGAAAGCCUGAUCCAGCCAUGCCGCGUGUGUGAAGAAGGUCUUCGGAUUGUAAAGCACUUUAAGUUGGGAGGAAGGGUAGUAACCUAAUACGUUGCUACUUUGACGUUACCGACAGAAUAAGCACCGGCUAACUUCGUGCCAGCAGCCGCGGUAAUACGAAGGGUGCAAGCGUUAAUCUGAAUUACUGGGCGUAAAGCGCGCGUAGGUGGUUCAGUAAGUUGGAAGUGAAAUCCCCGGGCUCAACCUGGGAACUGCUUUCAAAACUGCUGAGCUAGAGUACUGUAGAGGGUGGUGGAAUUUCCUGUGUAGCGGUGAAAUGCGUAGAUAUAGGAAGGAACACCAGUGGCGAAGGCGACCACCUGGACUGAUACUGACACUGAGGUGCGAAAGCGUGGGGAGCAAACAGGAUUAGAAACCCCAGUAGUCC